This 468-nucleotide ribosomal RNA is filed under the name uncultured bacterium. RNAcentral describes it as "partial 16S ribosomal RNA". It matches the Rfam family "Bacterial small subunit ribosomal RNA", at positions 28 to 507 of the family's 1533-position model. The record is from RNAcentral.
GACGAACGCUGGCGGCGUGCUUAACGCAUGCAAGUCGAACGGAAAGGCUCUGCUUUUGUGGGGUGCUCGAGUGGCGAACGGGUGAGUAACACGUGAGUAACCUGCCCUUGACUUUGGGAUAACUUCAGGAAACUGGGGCUAAUACCGGAUAGGAGCUCCUGCUGCAUGGUGGGGGUUGGAAAGUUUCGGCGGUUGGGGAUGGACUCGCGGCUUAUCAGCUUGUUGGUGGGGUAGUGGCUUACCAAGGCUUUGACGGGUAGCCGGCCUGAGAGGGUGACCGGCCACAUUGGGACUGAGAUACGGCCCAGACUCCUACGGGAGGCAGCAGUGGGGAAUAUUGCACAAUGGGCGGAAGCCUGAUGCAGCAACGCCGCGUGCGGGAUGACGGCCUUCGGGUUGUAAACCGCUUUCGCCUGUGACGAAGCGUGAGUGACGGUAAUGGGUAAAGAAGCACCGGCUAACUACGUG